CAGCUGGAANCNUAGCCAAACGACUAUAAAUAAAACUGGCCUUAUGCAAGUCAGCAUUUGCUGGCAACACUUUCGAAUUGCGGGGAACCCCUAAGAGCCUUUAACACCAAACCAGUAUGGGAAAUCUGCUGGCGGCCCGUGGGAAACUACGGGGUAUGGUAACAGUUUAAAGGAUGAGCAGUCAUGGCAACAUGGCUGUGAAAUGGGCAAUCCGCAGCGAAGCCCCUGAUGUUCAUGGUAGUUAUUUCAUCUGCGCCUGCACAUGAAAAAGACCACCAAACAUGGGGAACGUUCACAGACUAAGUGGAAGUGGGUGGAGUAUAGCUACUCUGCUUAAGAUAUAGUCGGGCCCCUUUGGAAACUCUGGGGAGGAAAGUCUACCUGGUCUUGUCUUUGUACAAAUCAGGUACUUUCCACAUCAAGCUGUUCCGUAGGUGAACCUGCGGAAGGAUCAUUACCCUUCUAUCAGGGGAUUGGUGUCGGUAUUUCAGGCUUCGGCUUGGUAUUGCCCUUUCCUUUCUGAUUCUACCCAUGUUUUUUGCGUACUAUUUGUUUCCUUGGUGGGCUUGCCCGCCAAUAGGACAAUUCAAACCACUUGUAAUUGCAGUCAGCGUCGGUAACAAUGUAAUAAUUACAACUUUCAACAACGGAUCUCUUGGUUCUGGCAUCGAUGAAGAACGCAGCGAAAUGCGAUAAGUAGUGUGAAUUGCAGAAUUCAGUGAAUCAUCGAAUCUUUGAACGCACAUUGCGCCCCUUUGGUAUUCCAUGGGGCAUGCCUGUUCGAGCGUCAUUUGUACCCUCAAGCUCUGCUUGGUGUUGGGUGAAUGUUCUCUGUGCUUGCGCAGACUGGACUCGCCUGAAAACAAUUGGCAGCCGGCAUAUUGGCCUGGAGCGCAGCACAAUUUGCGCCUCUUGUCAUGAUUGUUGGCAUCCAUCAAGAUAUUAUAUUAGCUCUUGACCUCGGAUCAGGUAGGGAUACCCGCUGAACUUAA
Molecule: unclassified non-coding RNA, 992 nt
Filed under: Dothideomycetes sp. F103 JA-2017
Lineage: Eukaryota; Fungi; Ascomycota; Dothideomycetes
Description: sequence contains ITS1, 5.8S rRNA gene and ITS2
Rfam family: 5.8S ribosomal RNA (bases 636-790)
Source: RNAcentral